RNAcentral lists this ribosomal RNA (440 nucleotides) under uncultured bacterium. Its description in RNAcentral is "partial 16S ribosomal RNA". It matches the Rfam family "Bacterial small subunit ribosomal RNA", at positions 338 to 795 of the family's 1533-position model. The record is from RNAcentral.
CCUACGGGGGGCAGCAGUAGGGAAUAUUGCUCAAUGGGGGAAACCCUGAAGCAGCAACGCCGCGUGGAGGAUGAAGGUUUUCGGAGUGUAAACUCCUUUUGUUAGAGAAGAUAAUGACGGUAUCUAACGAAUAAGCACCGGCUAACUCCGUGCGAGCAGCCGCGGUAAUGCGGAGGGUGCAAGCGUUACUCGGAAUCACUGGGCGUAAAGAGCGCGUAGGCGGGAUAGCAAGUCAGAUGUGAAAUCCUAUGGCUUAACCAUAGAACUGCAUUUGAAACUGUUAUUCUAGAGUAUGGGAGAGGUAGGUGGAAUUCUUGGUGUAGGGGUAAAAUCCGUAGAGAUCAAGAGGAAUACUCAUUGCGAAGGCGACCUGCUAGAACAUAACUGACGCUGAGGCGCGAAAGCGUGGGGAGCAAACAGGAUUAGAUACCCGAGUAGUC